UUGGUUUCAUAAUUGUUCUGUUUAUAUUCGAGUCAAAUCUUUGUCUUUCCGUAUCAUAUGUUCAAUUCUUGUUGCUUCUUCGUCUUGUCUUGUUACUAUCUUUGCAAAUCGCCAUAAUAAAUUUGUGUGAAAUAUGAGGGUAGUGUAAACGCGUGAGUGAAUGGGAAACAUAGCAGGUUCUAUGCAUUUGCUCCCUCUCGGGUCCUUUUCCUUUCCAACCUUUUCUUUUUCCUUUUUGAUUGUUUAUUUGCUUCUUGCUUGGAGAUACUGAUUGGUUUAGUUUGUUACAAAUUGCUUCUAGCACGUCCAAGCCAUAUCCUCGGUCAAGCGUUUCAUCAAACACCUUACGUGCUGAUGCUGCUUCUCCAGGAUCACUCCACCCUCUCACCAAAAUGAUGCAGCCACAGAGAAGAUAAUAUGUUUUUGCAUUUGGAUCAACCAUCAGUAUUGUGAAACGAUUAUGGUCGUUGUUAGUCUCACAUUGGAGAUUAAAGGACGGCCAAAUUGUGCUCAGAAGCAGGUUGCUAUUUUUCCAUUAGAUUCUAAAUGCAUUGUCUGUUUGUAUGUUAACAAUUCCUUGAAGCCUGCCCAGAGAGGGGUACAACUGUUCUUGCAAUUGCUUAUGAUGCAAGGAGUUGCAAUGCUUUUGCAAAAUAGAUAUCAACACCAGAGUCUCUAGCUUUGUUUAAUUGUUAUUUUAGUCUAAGCGAAUGGAUGUUGUGCGGGGAGAAACAGCUUGUAUGGAUGGAUAAUUAUGGCUACUGAGUCCUGUACUCUUCAUUCUGCAAGUGUUUAUGCCAUCUCUUAUCUGGUGUUCUCAUAUACUGAUGGAACAUGCCUGCUCUACUAAUCAUAAGCGGAGCCUACUCUUCUCAUAACAUUUUUUUUUUUUUUUUUUUGCCUCUGCUAAUUUUGUAUAUCCUUUGUAUGGUCUGAACAAAAGAAGCAAAGUGUUAAUCUGAUAGCAAUUGACUGUCGCACUACAG
Long non-coding RNA from Populus euphratica (Euphrates poplar), 986 nucleotides. RefSeq lists it as uncharacterized. NCBI's taxonomy places the organism in Eukaryota, Viridiplantae, Streptophyta, Magnoliopsida, Malpighiales, Salicaceae. The record is from RefSeq and is a predicted model, not a curated record. The transcript has 2 exons.